AUUGAACGCUGGCGGCAGGCCUAACACAUGCAAGUCGAGCGGAUGAAGGGAGCUUGCUCCUGGAUUCAGCGGCGGACGGGUGAGUAAUGCCUAGGAAUCUGCCUGGUAGUGGGGGAUAACGUCCGGAAACGGGCGCUAAUACCGCAUACGUCCUGAGGGAGAAAGUGGGGGAUCUUCGGACUUCACGCUAUCAGAUGAGCCUAGGUCGGAUUAGCUAGUUGGUGGGGUAAAGGCCUACCAAGGCGACGAUCCGUAACUGGUCUGAGAGGAUGAUCAGUCACACUGGAACUGAGACACGGUCCAGACUCCUACGGGAGGCAGCAGUGGGGAAUAUUGGACAAUGGGCGAAAGCCUGAUCCAGCCAUGCCGCGUGUGUGAAGAAGGUCUUCGGAUUGUAAAGCACUUUAAGUUGGGAGGAAGGGCAGUAAGUUAAUACCUUGCUGUUUUGACGUUACCAACAGAAUAAGCACCGGCUAACUUCGU
Molecule: ribosomal RNA, 483 nt
Filed under: uncultured bacterium
Lineage: Bacteria
Description: partial 16S ribosomal RNA
Rfam family: Bacterial small subunit ribosomal RNA
Source: RNAcentral